GAUGAACGCUGGCGGCGUGCCUAAUACAUGCAAGUCGAGCGAACGGACGAGAAGCUUGCUUCUCUGAUGUUAGCGGCGGACGGGUGAGUAACACGUGGAUAACCUACCUAUAAGACUGGGAUAACUUCGGGAAACCGGAGCUAAUACCGGAUAAUAUUUUGAACCGCAUGGUUCAAAAGUGAAAGACGGUCUUGCUGUCACUUAUAGAUGGAUCCGCGCUGCAUUAGCUAGUUGGUAAGGUAACGGCUUACCAAGGCAACGAUGCAUAGCCGACCUGAGAGGGUGAUCGGCCACACUGGAACUGAGACACGGUCCAGACUCCUACGGGAGGCAGCAGUAGGGAAUAUUCCGCAAUGGGCGAAAGCCUGACGGAGCAACGCCGCGUGAGUGAUGAAGGUCUUCGGAUCGUAAAACUCUGUUAUUAGGGAAGAACAGAUGUGUAAGUAACUGUGCACAUCUUGACGGUACCUAAUCAGAAAGCCACGGCUAACUACGUG
Molecule: ribosomal RNA, 497 nt
Filed under: uncultured bacterium
Lineage: Bacteria
Description: partial 16S ribosomal RNA
Rfam family: Bacterial small subunit ribosomal RNA
Source: RNAcentral